GACGAACGCUGGCGGCGUGCUUAACACAUGCAAGUCGAACGGAAAGGCCCUGCUUGCCUUGUACUCGAGUGGCGAACGGGUGAGUAACACGUGGGUGAUCUGCCCUGCACUUCGGGAUAAGCCUGGGAAACUGGGUCUCAUACCGGAUAUGACCUUCCAUGUCGGGUGGGGGGUGGAAGGAUUUAGCGGUGUGGGAUGAGGCCGCGGCCUAUCAGCUUGUUGGUGGGGUAAUGGCCUACCAAGGCGUCGACAGGUAGCCGGCCUGAGAGGGUGGACGGCCACAUUGGGACUGGGAUACGGCCCAGACUACUACGGGAGGCAGCGGUGGGGAAGAGUGCACAACGGGCGGGAGCCUUAUGCAGCGACGCGGCGUGGGGGAUGACGGCAUGCUGGUUGGAAUCCUCUUUCGACAGGGACGAAGCGUCGGUGACGGUACCUGUCUAAGAAGCACCGGCUAACUACGUG
RNAcentral lists this ribosomal RNA (465 nucleotides) under uncultured bacterium. RNAcentral describes it as "partial 16S ribosomal RNA". It matches the Rfam family "Bacterial small subunit ribosomal RNA", at positions 28 to 507 of the family's 1533-position model. The record is from RNAcentral.